UCAUCUACUGCGUUUCUGUGCCCUCUUUUGUCCAAAAGGAUUCUGCGGUGUUGAGUGGCUUCCAGGCACAAACAUCAUUUCACUUAUCCUGAAAAGCAGCUACAUCCAAGAUGAAAACAGGACCACCGUAUUGGACAACAAGGUUUCUAGAUUUAAAAGAAUACUGUUGAACGGAGGUUUACGAAAUACAACUUCUACUAUCAGAAUUUGCCCUCCCACAACCAACCUGAAACGAAAUGUGUUUGCAACACUUCAGAAUAAUGCUUGAUGUAAGGUAUACUUUGUCUAACACAAAUAGUGUCUUAUACAUAAAAUCAAUUGUUUUAGUUGGAAAAUACAUUUCUGUAGUUGAGCAACUCUAUUU
RNAcentral lists this long non-coding RNA (364 nucleotides) under Struthio camelus australis. RNAcentral's name for it is "lncRNA (ENSSCUG00000002650.1)". Lineage: Eukaryota; Metazoa; Chordata; Aves; Struthioniformes; Struthionidae. The record is from RNAcentral.